CACGUAGGGUGCGAGCGUUGUCCGGAAUCAUUGGGCGUAAAGGGCGCGUAGGUGGCCCGGUCAGUUCGUGGUGAAAGCGCGGGGCUCAACCCUGCGUCGGCCAUGAAUACUGCCGCGGCUGGAGCACUGUAGAGGCAGGCGGAAUUCCGGGUGUAGCGGUGGAAUGCGUAGAGAUCCGGAAGAACACCGGUGGCGAAGGCGGCCUGCUGGGCAGUUGCUGACACUGAGGCGCGACAGCGUGGGGAGCAAACAGG
RNAcentral lists this ribosomal RNA (254 nucleotides) under uncultured bacterium. RNAcentral describes it as "partial 16S ribosomal RNA". It matches the Rfam family "Bacterial small subunit ribosomal RNA", at positions 524 to 776 of the family's 1533-position model. The record is from RNAcentral.